GACGAACGCUGGCGGCGUGCCUAAUACAUGCAAGUCGAGCGAAUGACGAGAAGCUUGCUUCUCUGAUUUAGCGGCGAACGGGUGAGUAAUGCAUCGGAACGUGCCCAGUCGUGGGGGAUAACGCAGCGAAAGCUGCGCUAAUACCGCAUACGAUCUAUGGAUGAAAGCGGGGGACCGUAAGGCCUCGCGCGAUUGGAGCGGCCGAUGUCAGAUUAGGUAGUUGGUGGGGUAAAGGCUCACCAAGCCAACGAUCUGUAGCUGGUCUGAGAGGACGACCAGCCACACUGGGACUGAGACACGGCCCAGACUCCUACGGGAGGCAGCAGUGGGGAAUUUUGGACAAUGGGCGCAAGCCUGAUCCAGCAAUGCCGCGUGUUUGUAGAAGGCCUUCGGGUUGUAAAGGACUUUUGUCAGGGAGGAAAUCCCUAGCGUUAAUACCGCUGGGGGAUGACAGUACCUGAAGAAUAAGCACCGGCUAACUACGUGCCAGCAGCCGCCGUAA
RNAcentral lists this ribosomal RNA (502 nucleotides) under uncultured bacterium. RNAcentral describes it as "partial 16S ribosomal RNA". It matches the Rfam family "Bacterial small subunit ribosomal RNA", at positions 28 to 523 of the family's 1533-position model. The record is from RNAcentral.